This 468-nucleotide ribosomal RNA is filed under the name uncultured bacterium. Its description in RNAcentral is "partial 16S ribosomal RNA". It matches the Rfam family "Bacterial small subunit ribosomal RNA", at positions 28 to 507 of the family's 1533-position model. The record is from RNAcentral.
GACGAACGCUGGCGGCGUGCUUAACACAUGCAAGUCGAACGGAAAGGCCCUGCUUUUGUGGGGUGCUCGAGUGGCGAACGGGUGAGUAACACGUGAGUAACCUGCCCUUGACUUUGGGAUAACUUCAGGAAACUGGGGCUAAUACCGGAUAGGAGCUCCUGCUGCAUGGUGGGGGUUGGAAAGUUUCGGCGGUUGGGGAUGGACUCGCGGCUUAUCAGCUGGUUGGGGGGGUAGUGGCUUACCAAGGCUUUGACGGGUAGCCGGCCUGAGAGGGUGACCGGCCACCUUGGGACUGAGAUACGGCCCAGACUCCUACGGGAGGCAGCAGUGGGGAAUAUUGCACAAUGGGCGGAAGCCUGAUGCAGCAACGCCGCGUGCGGGAUGACGGCCUUCGGGUUGUAAACCGCUUUCGCCUGUGACGAAGCGUGAGUGACGGUAAUGGGUAAAGAAGCACCGGCUAACUACGUG